This 406-nucleotide ribosomal RNA is filed under the name uncultured bacterium. RNAcentral describes it as "partial 16S ribosomal RNA". It matches the Rfam family "Bacterial small subunit ribosomal RNA", at positions 30 to 526 of the family's 1533-position model. The record is from RNAcentral.
AUUGAACGCUGGCGGCAGGCCUAACACAUGCAAGUCGAACGAGUGGCGGACGGGUGAGUAAUGUCUGGGAAACUGCCCGAUGGAGGGGGAUAACUACUGGAAACGGUAGCUAAUACCGCAUACCAUCGGAUGUGCCCAGAUGGGAUUAGCUAGUAGGUGGGGUAACGGCUCACCUAGGCGACGAUCCCUAGCUGGUCUGAGAGGAUGACCAGCAAGUCUGGACCUGAGACACGGUCCAGACUCCUCCGGAAGGCAGCAGUGGGGAAUAGUGCCCAAUGGACGCAAGCCUGAUGCAGCCAUGCCGCGUGUAGGAAGAAGGCCUGCGGGGUGCAAAGUACUUUCAGCGAGGAGGAGUUACUCGCAGAAGAAGCUUCGGCUAACUCCGUGCCAGCAGCCGCGGUAAUAC